CACGUAGGCGGACUGGAAAGUUGGAGGUGAAAUCCCAGGGCUCAACCUUGGAACUGCCUUCAAAACUAUCAGUCUGGAGUUCGAGAGAGGUGAGUGGAAUUCCGAGUGUAGAGGUGAAAUUCGUAGGUAUUCGGAGGAACACCAGUGGCGAAGGCGGCUCACUGGCUCGAUACUGACGCUGAGGUGCGAAAGUGUGGGGAGCAAACA
Molecule: ribosomal RNA, 207 nt
Filed under: uncultured bacterium
Lineage: Bacteria
Description: partial 16S ribosomal RNA
Rfam family: Bacterial small subunit ribosomal RNA
Source: RNAcentral